ACUUGGUUUCAUUGCGCUACAGGGUACGCGAAAAGGUUAUUGGUUGCAGGACGAAAUAAUGAGUUGACAUGGUCAAUUGGCAGAAAUAUUUGUCAACUUAUGAUUCAGGGUGACGGCCGCAGUGACAGUAUCCUUCAGAUCUUUCUGGUGUAAAGCUUCGAGCGGCACUGCAACUGUUAUGAACAGGCUUGUCGCUUACCACCAGGUACACGACGUGUUCGUCCCGUCGCUUGGUACUUUAAAAAAGAUGCGGCAUAUUGUUCCUUAACGAUCUAACAGAUAUAACUUGCAAUUUUAUUAAUAAUGAAUUAUGUACAUCGUAACAUGGAACACGAAAUUGUAAUUCAAUUAUACUUAUGACUUGGACUAAAACCUUGAAAGGAAAUUAACGUGAAAUGUGAAAUAUAAUAUCUGCUAAUAUACAACCGGUAGCAGAGAAACUUGACCCCAUUUGAUGUUGGUUGUACACUAUACCGACUGAAAUUUAAAUUUAAAUUUACCGUAGUAUUGCAUCAGUCAGUUCUAAAGAAAAAAUAAUAUGUGCUGCUAUUUGUAUUAUUGCCUUAAAUACGCAGCCGGUUGCGCACAUAAACCUGAUGGGCGCGACGACUGAUUAUUGGGAAACAAGUAUAUUGUUCAAAGUUCCAAAUUUGAAACUUAUAGGGACGUGAAGCCAUACAUUUUAAAUUGUGCAGUCAUACAUAUUCUUGUACAUGAAAAUUCUUAGUGUAUGAAUUAUUGUCGUACACAAUUUGAAUGGGAAGUUAGGAACUGGACUUGUGGUGAGGUGUGCUCCUACUGCAAUAAACUACGACGAUCUAAACCUGGAUAAGCCUAUAGUGAAAUUACCGUAUGUAGACAAGAAAUCCAUUGCUGCUAAGUUCUAUGGAGAAAUGUGGUGUACAUAUAUGAAGAACUCUCGAAAAAAUUGACGUAUUGACUUCGUGUAAAAUCAUCACUUCAUCAGUCACUUCACAACGGUGAUUGACUAUUUAGAACUUUUCUGUAAAGAACAUUGUGAUUGGUCUCAUAACAUCACGAUAUCUUAAUACAGAUUCGAGCAGUAUUUUUUUUAUUCUACUAUCAACUUUGUUCCGUUUCCUUUGGACACAAUCAACGACACAGAAAAAUAAUAUUAUCUGCUUUUUAAUAAUAGUGGUAAAUAAAAUGCAACAAAAGAAACGAAUAACACACUUAGCAACAAAACUGAAACAAUCG
Molecule: long non-coding RNA, 1218 nt
Organism: Hyposmocoma kahamanoa
Lineage: Eukaryota; Metazoa; Arthropoda; Insecta; Lepidoptera; Cosmopterigidae
Exons: 3
Source: RefSeq, a predicted model, not a curated record